This 499-nucleotide ribosomal RNA is filed under the name Anguilla bicolor (Indonesian shortfin eel). Its description in RNAcentral is "partial 16S rRNA". It matches the Rfam family "Bacterial large subunit ribosomal RNA", at positions 1952 to 2582 of the family's 2925-position model. The record is from RNAcentral. Lineage: Eukaryota; Metazoa; Chordata; Actinopteri; Anguilliformes; Anguillidae.
GAAGGUAGCGUAAUCAUUUGUCUUUUAAAUAGAGACCUGUAUGAAUGGCAUAACGAGGGUUUAACUGUCUCCCUCCCCUAGUCAAUGAAAUUGAUCUGCCCGUGCAGAAGCGGACAUAAAUACAUAAGACGAGAAGACCCUAUGGAGCUUUAGACAAAAGAUCAAACAUGUAAAGAAACCAAACUAACCAAAAGGAACACAAAGGCCACAAAACCCGACGUAAAAUGAUCCAAAUGUCUUCGGUUGGGGCGACCAUGGGGGAAAGAAAAACCCCCACGAGGAACCAGGGGCAAUCCAUUAAGCCAAGAGAUACACCUCUAAGCAACAGAAAAUCUGACCAAAAAUGACCCAGGACACUAAUCCUGAUCAACGAACCAAGUUACCCUAGGGAUAACAGCGCAAUCCUUUCCCAGAGUCCAUAUCGACGAAAGGGUUUACGACCUCGAUGUUGGAUCAGGACAUCCUAAUGGUGCAGCCGCUAUUAAGGGUUCGUUUGUUC